Long non-coding RNA from Sinocyclocheilus grahami, 360 nucleotides. RefSeq lists it as uncharacterized. The transcript is spliced from 3 exons. The record is from RefSeq and is a predicted model, not a curated record. Lineage: Eukaryota; Metazoa; Chordata; Actinopteri; Cypriniformes; Cyprinidae.
UUAUUUUAAUCCAAUUUGUCAUCAUUGAGAUAAUUGUGUGUGGCUUCAUCUCUUGUAGAGACAUAUAAGGAUUCAGAGAGUUGACGCAUUACCUGAGCUGCAGCAGUGCAACAAGUGUUACAGCAAUUACCAGCAGUUUUCUGAUUGACCAGCAUGUUUAAGCCAGCCAAACUAGUCAAAUGAAUAAGUCAUCUUCAAAUCCACUUCAACAUGCAGUUGUCUGUGGAGUGUGACAUUCCAAUCAUACGGAGAUGGUGGACUCCAAAUGGUUUUCUCUGAAAGUGCAGAAACCCUACAAGAGGCCCUUCCAAUUGGAUAACAGGCUACGCUUGUGAGGUAUGUCUCAAAUCUAUCUAUCUA